Electrophorus electricus (electric eel) is the source of this 699-nucleotide long non-coding RNA. Lineage: Eukaryota; Metazoa; Chordata; Actinopteri; Gymnotiformes; Gymnotidae. The record is from Ensembl.
AUCCCCUCUGUGGCAGAGAAUGAAGACGUGCUCCAGAGCGCUCCCUCUCUGUCCAAUGAGCUGCUUCUCGGCCUCUUCCACAGCUCGCUGCAGAAUGAACUGAGUGACCGGGAGAUUGCGUUGGCUGACAGAGAGCAUGUGACCUUCAUGCUUCAUAUCUUGGAGAGAGAGCGGGAUGGUCAUGUGGCCCCAUUCACUUUGCCUGUGAUUAAAGAAGAGAGGCAGGACACGGUAUUGUCAUUCCAUACCACUGGGAGCAAUAAGGAGGUGACCGGUUCCAGCAGUACUCUACAGAGUUUCAGUAAUGCAGAUCUGGUGGAUGAGGAGCCCGUGGUGACUGAGAGAGAGCAGAGCGCCCCCCAGUGGAAAUGCUACGCCAAGCUCAUCAGCCCCCAGCAGGUCCUGCUUGUGUUCCUGCCUGCAACCUUCUCUGAUGUUCAGAUUUUGAUGUCUUUUGGCAUGGGUACUGACCCGCAAGUCGAUGGCAACCAAUCACGGACCGCUUCCAUCAGCAGCUCAGCCAAUGGGCUUGAGGAGGUGGAGUCUGUGGUGGAAUCCAGUGGGGCUCUGCAUGGCGAAAUUGGUGAUGGCCAACCGGAAACGCCCUCAACAGAACGGGAGAGCGAGGACAAGCAGACCGCAGACCAGGCUAGCACAGAUACAGGUAGACUGUGUGCGCGUGUGUGCGUGACUGCAUGU